Molecule: long non-coding RNA, 143 nt
Organism: Telopea speciosissima
Lineage: Eukaryota; Viridiplantae; Streptophyta; Magnoliopsida; Proteales; Proteaceae
Exons: 3
Source: RefSeq, a predicted model, not a curated record
ACAACUGAUAAAAAUCAUUGCUUUGGACGAUGCAUAUGUAGAAAGCCUAAUUUUGUUUUCUUUUUCUAGUAUUUACUAGUAGAUUUGAUUUUUCUUUUCUUCUUUCUAUAGUGGAGAUAGUCGCACAAGGGGGAUCAAUUCCU